RNAcentral lists this long non-coding RNA (1191 nucleotides) under Oncorhynchus mykiss (rainbow trout). Its description in RNAcentral is "lncRNA (ENSOMYG00000061513.1)". The record is from RNAcentral. Lineage: Eukaryota; Metazoa; Chordata; Actinopteri; Salmoniformes; Salmonidae.
CUGAGAAGCAACCAGCCAGUGUUUUAUGUCUCAGUGAGUUUUCUAGCUAUUAUUUAUACCUUCUGUGUUUUAUUCUAAGCUUCAGAUAAUGGGAAGUUGUUCAAUCAUGAUGAUUCAGUAUGUGUUCUGUAGAAGUCUUCUAACAGUGUGUGUGUGUUCUGUAGAAGUCUUCUAACAGUGUUUGUGUGUGUUCUGUAGAAGUCUUCUAACAGUGUGUGUGUGUUCUGUAGAAGUCUUCUAACAGUGUGUGUGUUCUGUAGAAGUCUUCUAACAGUGUUUGUUUUGUGGAAGUCUUCUGACAGUGUGUGUGUGUUCUGUAGAACUCUUCUAACAGUGUGUGUGUGUUCUGUAGAACUCUUCUAACAGUGUGUGUGUGUUCUGUAGAAGUCUUCUAACAGUGUGUGUGUGUUCUGUAGAAGUCUUCUAACAGUGUGUGUGUUUUGUAGAAGUCUUCUAACAGUGUGUGUGUUCUGUAGAAGUCUUCUAACAGUGUUUGUUCUGUGGAAGUCUUCUGACAGUGUGUGUGUGUUCUGUAGAACUCUUCUAACAGUGUGUGUGUGUUCUGUAGAACUCUUCUAACAGUGUGUGUGUGUUCUGUAGAAGUCUUCUAACAGUGUGUGUGUGUUCUGUAGAAGUCUUCUAACAGUGUUUGUUUUGUGGAAGUCUUCUGACAGUGUGUGUGUGUUCUGUAGAACUCUUCUAACAGUGUGUGUGUGUUCUGUGGAAGUCUUCUAACAGUGUGUGUGUUUUGUAGAAGUCUUCUAACAGUGUGUGUGUUCUGUAGAACUCUUCUAACAGUGUGUGUGUGUUCUGUAGAACUCUUCUAACAGUGUGUGUGUGUUCUGUGGAAGUCUUCUAACAGUGUGUGUGUUUUGUAGAAGUCUUCUAACAGUGUGUGUGUGUUCUGUAGAAGUCUUCUAACGGUGUGUGUGUGUGUUCUGUAGAACUCUUCUAAGAGUGUGUGUGUGUUCUGUAGAAGUCUUCUAACAGUGUGUAUGUGUUCUGUAGCACUCUGAAAAUAGUACUGCAUUAGUGUACAAUGGCUAUGAUGCAUCUAGGUGGUGGUAUUAGUGGCUAGUGUGUGUAUCGGCGGGGCGGGGGUGGUGGCGUAUCUGCGGUCCGGUUGUGGUGGGUUGGCAUGGGUCUAAGUUCUUUCUUCUGGCUCCCGAGUGGCGCAGCAGUCUAAGGCCC